GGCGGCAUGGCCAAGUGGUAAGGCAAGGGUCUGCAAAAUCCUCACCCUCAGUUCGAGUCUGAGUGCCGCCU
Molecule: transfer RNA, 71 nt
Filed under: Gloeobacterales cyanobacterium ES-bin-313
Lineage: Bacteria; Bacillati; Cyanobacteriota; Cyanophyceae; Gloeobacterales
Rfam family: tRNA
About the family: Transfer RNA (tRNA) molecules are approximately 80 nucleotides in length. Their secondary structure includes four short double-helical elements and three loops (D, anti-codon, and T loops).
Source: Rfam by way of RNAcentral